This 350-nucleotide long non-coding RNA is filed under the name Trifolium pratense (red clover). Its description in RNAcentral is "long non-coding RNA (TPRA_LNC001266)". The record is from RNAcentral. Lineage: Eukaryota; Viridiplantae; Streptophyta; Magnoliopsida; Fabales; Fabaceae.
UUCAGAGCUUUCUUCCUGAAACAGCAUAAAGAUUUACCAACAAUGAAUCGGCAUCUUGCAUUUACCAGUUACGAAGCUGAAUAAGAUCGGGUUUUGAAAUGCAGCAAUUAAACAUGAACAUAUAGACCAAGAAAAUGAGCCACUUCAUUACUGUGACGAAAUUCACUGAGGUACAAGAACUCUUCAAUUUGAAUUUGAACAACACACUACCUAAACAGCACAAAAAAUCUCUCUAAUCAACUCAAUAAUAGGAACAACAAAACAGAAGCCGGUGAAAUCUAUUACAACACUCUCUAAAAGGCAGCGCGCAAACUGCAAGCAAAACCUGCUUGUCAAAUGUCAAGAGAGUC